AACGAACGCUGGCGGCAUGCCUAACACAUGCAAGUCGAACGAGACCUUCGGGUCUAGUGGCGCACGGGUGCGUAACGCGUGGGAACCUGCCCUUAGGUUCGGAAUAACUCCCCGAAAGGGGUGCUAAUACCGGAUAAUGUCUUCGGACCAAAGAUUUAUCGCCUUUGGAUGGGCCCGCGUUGGAUUAGCUAGUUGGUAGGGUAAAAGCCUACCAAGGCGACGAUCCAUAGCUGGUCUGAGAGGAUGAUCAGCCACACUGGGACUGAGACACGGCCCAGACUUCUACGGGAGGCAGCAGUGGGGAAUAUUGGACAAUGGGCGAAAGCCUGAUCCAGCAAUGCCGCGUGAGUGAUGAAGGCCUUAGGGUUGUAAAGCUCUUUUACCCGGGAUGAUAAUGACAGUACCGGGAGAAUAAGCUCCGGCUAACUCCGU
This 432-nucleotide ribosomal RNA is filed under the name uncultured bacterium. RNAcentral's name for it is "partial 16S ribosomal RNA". It matches the Rfam family "Bacterial small subunit ribosomal RNA", at positions 29 to 506 of the family's 1533-position model. The record is from RNAcentral.